This is a long non-coding RNA of Synchiropus splendidus (mandarinfish), 737 nucleotides long. RefSeq lists it as uncharacterized. The record is from RefSeq and is a predicted model, not a curated record. NCBI's taxonomy places the organism in Eukaryota, Metazoa, Chordata, Actinopteri, Syngnathiformes, Callionymidae. The transcript has 3 exons.
GAUAUGAGUAUAUUAACAAGGCGGAAUGGCUCUGUGGUCCGACCAGGAACUGAGACGCCUGAGUUACUGCUAGUUUCUCGCUUCACUACAGCUGUGUAAACAGAGAAGGACUCUUCAGAACGAAGAGGAGGCAUAUGCAGCACAGCAAUACCCAUUACACGUUGUUUUGACAGAUUCCAGUUUGGAGGUCACACCUCGACUGUUUUACUAAUGUAUUGAUGCAACGCCGCUGGAGCUUAAACAACGCCAUUAUUCAGUUCCGUUUUCAUCAGUAAAGCCUGAAUCACUUUUCCUCUCCGCCUUGCGAGCGAUGUCAGGAAGCAGCUCUGAGUGUCCGACAUCCUCACAAUCUCUGCUGAACAACUGCGGUGAAGUAUUGACACGGGAGCGGCGCAGUGAGGCCGGCGCAGGAGACAAGAGUGGGGGAGGUUUUGCAAGGCCGGGAUCGGAACCUUGGCGCUCAGGAUGGAGACACCGUCAGACCAACGAAACUAUUCCAUGGUUUCCUUCAGGAAACUAAAGGGUUUGAAUCCUGCCUUGCUUUAUCAUGUAUUCAGUUUAAUACAUUAAUAUGGUGGACCCUGCAAGCCUUUUUGUCCUCCUUGGAGCUCAAAGAUAUUUUCCCCACUUCAUCCAAGAUACUUUGACAAUCUCGGAGACACUUGUGGCGUCACUUCAUCAAGUCAACAUGCUUUACAAAGGUGGUAGUGUGUGGUUAAUGUACGCUGAAAUGAGUC